This 1441-nucleotide ribosomal RNA is filed under the name uncultured organism. Its description in RNAcentral is "SSU rRNA". It matches the Rfam family "Bacterial small subunit ribosomal RNA". The record is from RNAcentral.
GCGACAGGCUUAACACAUGCAAGUCGAGGGGCAGCACAGGUAGCAAUACCGGGUGGCGACCGGCGCACGGGUGAGUAACGCGUAUGCAACUUACCUAUCAGAGGGGGAUAACCCGGCGAAAGUCGGACUAAUACCGCAUGAAGCAGGGGUCCCGCAUGGGGAUAUUUGCUAAAGAUUCAUCGCUGAUAGAUAGGCAUGCGUUCCAUUAGGCAGUUGGCGGGGUAACGGCCCACCAAACCGACGAUGGAUAGGGGUUCUGAGAGGAAGGUCCCCCACAUUGGUACUGAGACACGGACCAAACUCCUACGGGAGGCAGCAGUGAGGAAUAUUGGUCAAUGGCCGAGAGGCUGAACCAGCCAAGUCGCGUGAGGGAUGAAGGUUCUAUGGAUCGUAAACCUCUUUUAUAAGGGAAUAAAGUGCGGGACGUGUCCCGUUUUGUAUGUACCUUAUGAAUAAGGAUCGGCUAACUCCGUGCCAGCAGCCGCGGUAAUACGGAGGAUCCGAGCGUUAUCCGGAUUUAUUGGGUUUAAAGGGUGCGUAGGCGGCCUUUUAAGUCAGCGGUGAAAGUCUGUGGCUCAACCAUAGAAUUGCCGUUGAAACUGGGGGGCUUGAGUAUGUUUGAGGCAGGCGGAAUGCGUGGUGUAGCGGUGAAAUGCAUAGAUAUCACGCAGAACCCCGAUUGCGAAGGCAGCCUGCCAAGCCAUUACUGACGCUGAUGCACGAAAGCGUGGGGAUCAAACAGGAUUAGAUACCCUGGUAGUCCACGCAGUAAACGAUGAUCACUAGCUGUUUGCGAUACACUGUAAGCGGCACAGCGAAAGCGUUAAGUGAUCCACCUGGGGAGUACGCCGGCAACGGUGAAACUCAAAGGAAUUGACGGGGGCCCGCACAAGCGGAGGAACAUGUGGUUUAAUUCGAUGAUACGCGAGGAGCCUUACCCGGGUUUGAACGCAUUCGGACCGAGGUGGAAACACCUUUUCUAGCAAUAGCCGUUUGCGAGGUGCUGCAUGGUUGUCGUCAGCUCGUGCCGUGAGGUGUCGGCUUAAGUGCCAUAACGAGCGCAACCCUUGCCACUAGUUACUAACAGGUAAAGCUGAGGACUCUGGUGGGACUGCCAGCGUAAGCUGCGAGGAAGGCGGGGAUGACGUCAAAUCAGCACGGCCCUUACAUCCGGGGCGACACACGUGUUACAAUGGCGUGGACAAAGGGAAGCCACCUGGCGACAGGGAGCGAAUCCCCAAACCACGUCUCAGUUCGGAUCGGAGUCUGCAACCCGACUCCGUGAAGCUGGAUUCGCUAGUAAUCGCGCAUCAGCCAUGGCGCGGUGAAUACGUUCCCGGGCCUUGUACACACCGCCCGUCAAGCCAUGGGAGCCGGGGGUACCUGAAGUCCGUAACCGCGAGGAUCGGCCUAGGGUAAAACUGGUGACUGGGGCUAAGAC